GACGAACGCUGGCGGCGCGCCUAACACAUGCAAGUCGAACGGAGCUGAGAGAAGCUUGCUUUUCUUAGCUUAGUGGCGAACGGGUGAGUAACGCGUGAGUAACCUGCCCUGGAGUGGGGGACAACAGUUGGAAACGACUGCUAAUACCGCAUAAGCCCACGAUCCGGCAUCGGAUUGAGGGAAAAGGAUUUAUUCGCUUCAGGGUGGACUCGCGUCCAAUUAGCUAGUUGGUGAGGUAACGGCCCACCAAGGCGACGAUUGGUAGCCGGACUGAGAGGUUGAACGGCCACAUUGGGACUGAGACACGGCCCAGACUCCUACGGGAGGCAGCAGUGGGGGAUAUUGCACAAUGGGGGAAACCCUGAUGCAGCGACGCCGCGUGGAGGAAGAAGGUUUUCGGAUUGUAAACUCCUGUCGUUAGGGACGAUAAUGACGGUACCUAACAAGAAAGCACCGGCUAACUACGUG
RNAcentral lists this ribosomal RNA (468 nucleotides) under uncultured bacterium. RNAcentral's name for it is "partial 16S ribosomal RNA". It matches the Rfam family "Bacterial small subunit ribosomal RNA", at positions 28 to 507 of the family's 1533-position model. The record is from RNAcentral.